Molecule: ribosomal RNA, 554 nt
Filed under: Rhizophagus intraradices
Lineage: Eukaryota; Fungi; Glomeromycota; Glomeromycetes; Glomerales; Glomeraceae
Description: SSU rRNA
Rfam family: Eukaryotic small subunit ribosomal RNA
Source: RNAcentral
AAGUCUGGUGCCAGCAGCCGCGGUAAUUCCAGCUCCAAUAGCGUAUAUUAAAGUUGUUGCAGUUAAAAAGCUCGUAGUUGAAUUUCGGGGUUAGUAGGCUGGUUAUGCCACUGGUAUGUACUGGUCUUACUGAUUCCUCCUUCCUGAUGAACUGUAAUGCCAUUAAUUUGGUGUUGCAGGGAGUCUGGACUGUUACUUUGAAAAAAUUAGAGUGUUUAAAGCAGGCUAACGCUUGAAUACAUUAGCAUGGAAUAAUGAAAUAGGACGUUCGAUCCUAUUUUGUUGGUUUCUAGGAUUGACGUAAUGAUUAAUAGGGAUAGUUGGGGGCAUUAGUAUUCAAUUGUCAGAGGUGAAAUUCUUGGAUUUAUUGAAGACUAACUACUGCGAAAGCAUUUGCCAAGGAUGUUUUCAUUAAUCAAGAACGAAAGUUAGGGGAUCGAAGACGAUCAGAUACCGUCGUAGUCUUAACCAUAAACUAUGCCGACUAGGGAUCGGAUGAUGUUAAUUUUUUAAUGACUCAUUCGGCGCCUUACGGGAAACCAAAGUGUUUGGGU